CCAAGAAUACUUGGAUGGACAUCCCAAGUUCAACAUGAAGGCUGAGGCGGGACUUCCCUCUUUGCUGUCACGCUCACCCAAGUGAGGACAGUGCUUGGCUUGCAUUGGACCACUCUGACCACACGGACUGUGGUCACAUCCAUCUUAUCACAGUCAAAGGUUGGAUCUGUGGGCAGGACAUAGAUACUCAUGAAAGACAGAACCAGGAAGACUUGGCUGAAAUGGAUUUGCUUUAUUCAAAACAAGUUGUGUCUUCUGAAGAUUCUCAUUGAAGUCUAGAAAGUCAUGAAGUUGCUCCUGAGGAUGGGUGUGUGUGAUGGUUUCCUGUCUCCAGAGAAAUGGAAAUGGGGCUAACCAGAGAGUUUCAUCCUUGCAAAAUGAGAAGCGGCUUCUUGGACGGCAAGGGACAAGGAUAAAGAUGCAUCCUGUGGGCUUCUUGGGUCUGUUCCUGCCAUGCAUCAGAGCGGCGGUGGUGACGGUCAGGAUCCUGCUGGGCCUGGGGGCUUCUGCAUCGCUGGCGCUGGAUCAGCCAUCAAUUCUUCCAAACGUAAAAGCCACGGCUGCUUUAUAAGGUCCCCUUCAUACUUGGGCAUGGGGACACGGAAAUCAAGUUCCUGCGGCUGAGGUUCCUGUUGAGAGAACAAGGCACGGUGGUAGCCAUGGUCCCUCACGUACAGCGUCCGCGCAUGGCCUCCUGGCCUGAGACAGCAUCCUCCUCGGUGAGGUCCUGGGAGCGCCUGAACAUGAGGAUAGAGUUGUAAACCUUCAGGGCUGGACCCAGCUCGAUCUUCAUCACCUGGGCAAUGUCCGUCUGUGUCAGCAGCAGGAAGAUGCCAUCAAUUGCUGUCAGUAAACAAAUGCACACAAAUAAACACAGCCUGCUUCUCCAGUCUGUUUGCGCCCGCCCCCGAACCCCCCACUGCCAGGAGCCCCUGGGUGCUGAGCUGUGACCCAGACACCAUGAGUUCCCAGAGCUCAGGGGACCACAGAGCACCGCAGCAUCUUAGUCCAACUGUUCUCGACAGCAAGUUCUCCCCAGAACCCUGAAGCUAAGUUACAUUAAAAGCUGUUCAUUCUGUUAAAUGUGAACUCAACGUAUAUGAAGUAGGCUAAAUUUCUACUGUUACAUUUUAAAAUUUUUGGACUGAAUUUGUAUCAAGGGCCUUAACAAUAACCCACUUUCAUAUACCAAGUGAAUCUCCAGGAACACUCAUGAAAAUGAUGAGCAGUGAGGAUGUGCUGGUUUUAUUUAUAGCAGUGAAAUUCUGCAAACAACUGGACAUGCCAGGAACAGCAGAAGGAAAGAAAUGAGGGUGUAACUGAGGAAGGGGGACCGGCAGUCACCUAAAUUCACAUCUCAAUGAAAUAGGUAAUGACUUGGGACACUUUUCGUGGGUUGUGAAGCAAGGGAACAUGAGCUAAUGACCUAGAAAGAUUUGCUUUCAUUUGUAAAAUUAAAUGUGUGUGAUUGCUGUAAACACACAUGGAGUUAAAAUAUUUGAAGUCUUUACAGCAAAUGUGAAGUGACCUUUGGCCAGAUGUUUGGUUUGUGUUUUCUCCUUUAACCUUACUUAAAAUGCUUUCUGUGACAGACACCAUUAUAAGCAGAAGUACAUUCAAAAUGAAUGUGUUAUUUAUUAACUU
Molecule: non-coding RNA, 1644 nt
Organism: Odocoileus virginianus texanus
Lineage: Eukaryota; Metazoa; Chordata; Mammalia; Artiodactyla; Cervidae
Source: RefSeq, a predicted model, not a curated record